Molecule: ribosomal RNA, 465 nt
Filed under: uncultured Klebsiella sp.
Lineage: Bacteria; Pseudomonadati; Pseudomonadota; Gammaproteobacteria; Enterobacterales; Enterobacteriaceae
Description: bacterial SSU rRNA
Rfam family: Bacterial small subunit ribosomal RNA
Source: RNAcentral
CCUACGGGUGGCUGCAGUGGGGAAUAUUGCACAAUGGGCGCAAGCCUGAUGCAGCCAUGCCGCGUGUGUGAAGAAGGCCUUCGGGUUGUAAAGCACUUUCAGCGGGGAGGAAGGCGGUGAGGUUAAUAACCUCAUCGAUUGACGUUACCCGCAGAAGAAGCACCGGCUAACUCCGUGCCAGCAGCCGCGGUAAUACGGAGGGUGCAAGCGUUGAUCGGAAUUACUGGGCGUAAAGCGCACGCAGGCGGUCUGUCAAGUCGGAUGUGAAAUCCCCGGGCUCAACCUGGGAACUGCAUUCGAAACUGGCAGGCUAGAGUCUUGUAGAGGGGGGUAGAAUUCCAGGUGUAGCGGUGAAAUGCGUAGAGAUCUGGAGGAAUACCGGUGGCGAAGGCGGCCCCCUGGACAAAGACUGACGCUCAGGUGCGAAAGCGUGGGGAGCAAACAGGAUUAGAUACCCCGGUAGUC